UACGUAGGGGGCUAGCGUUGUCCGGAUUUAUUGGGCGUAAAGAGCGUGUAGGCGGCCAGGUAGGUCGGUUGUGAAAACUGGAGGCUCAACCUUCAGAGGUCGACCGAAACCAUCUGGCUAGAGUCCGGGAGAGGAGAGUGGAAUUCCUGGUGUAGCGGUGAAAUGCGCAGAUAUCAGGAAGAACACCCGUGGCGAAAGCGGCUCUCUGGAACGGUACUGACGCUGAGACGCGAAAAGCGUGGGGAGCGAACAGG
Molecule: ribosomal RNA, 254 nt
Filed under: uncultured bacterium
Lineage: Bacteria
Description: partial 16S ribosomal RNA
Rfam family: Bacterial small subunit ribosomal RNA
Source: RNAcentral